This 102-nucleotide small nuclear RNA is filed under the name Spermophilus dauricus (Daurian ground squirrel). Lineage: Eukaryota; Metazoa; Chordata; Mammalia; Rodentia; Sciuridae. The record is from RNAcentral.
GUGGUACGUUAAGCACAUAUACUAAAAUUGGAAUGAUAUGGAGAAGAUUAGCAUGGUCCCUGCACAGGGAUAACAUACAAAUUCAUGAAGCUCCAUAUUUAA